RNAcentral lists this small nuclear RNA (178 nucleotides) under Suricata suricatta (meerkat). RNAcentral's name for it is "U2 spliceosomal RNA (ENSSSUG00005006526.1)". Lineage: Eukaryota; Metazoa; Chordata; Mammalia; Carnivora; Herpestidae. The record is from Rfam by way of RNAcentral.
AUCGCUUCUCGGCCUUUUGGCUAAGAUCAAGUGUAGGAAAACUCACUAAUUUGCAAUCAGCCUCUUCAAGAGAAAAAUGAAGCUUCACUAAUUUAAUUUAGUAAGUUGGAAGUGUAUUGUGCAUUUUUAUCUCAAUAAUACUAAUAAAGCCUUUGGUAGCUUUCUCUUAGUCCCUACA